RNAcentral lists this ribosomal RNA (1545 nucleotides) under Salmonella enterica. Its description in RNAcentral is "partial 23S ribosomal RNA". It matches the Rfam family "Bacterial large subunit ribosomal RNA", at positions 711 to 2236 of the family's 2925-position model. The record is from RNAcentral. Lineage: Bacteria; Pseudomonadati; Pseudomonadota; Gammaproteobacteria; Enterobacterales; Enterobacteriaceae.
AGACCCGAAACCCGGUGAUCUAGCCAUGGGCAGGUUGAAGGUUGGGUAACACUAACUGGAGGACCGAACCGACUAAUGUUGAAAAAUUAGCGGAUGACCUGUGGCUGGGGGUGAAAGGCCAAUCAAACCGGGAGAUAGCUGGUUCUCCCCGAAAGCUAUUUAGGUAGCGCCUCGUGAAUUCAUCUCCGGGGGUAGAGCACUGUUUCGGCUAGGGGGCCAUCCCGGCUUACCAACCCGAUGCAAACUGCGAAUACCGGAGAAUGUUAUCACGGGAGACACACGGCGGGUGCUAACGUCCGUCGUGAAGAGGGAAACAACCCAGACCGCCAGCUAAGGUCCCAAAGUCAUGGUUAAGUGGGAAACGAUGUGGGAAGGCCCAGACAGCCAGGAUGUUGGCUUAGAAGCAGCCAUCAUUUAAAGAAAGCGUAAUAGCUCACUGGUCGAGUCGGCCUGCGCGGAAGAUGUAACGGGGCUAAACCAUGCACCGAAGCUGCGGCAGCGACGCUGAUGCGUUGUUGGGUAGGGGAGCGUUCUGUAAGCCUGUGAAGGUGGCCUGUGAGGGUUGCUGGAGGUAUCAGAAGUGCGAAUGCUGACAUAAGUAACGAUAAAGCGGGUGAAAAGCCCGCUCGCCGGAAGACCAAGGGUUCCUGUCCAACGUUAAUCGGGGCAGGGUGAGUCGACCCCUAAGGCGAGGCCGAAAGGCGUAGUCGAUGGGAAACGGGUUAAUAUUCCCGUACUUGGUGUUACUGCGAAGGGGGGACGGAGAAGGCUAUGUUGGCCGGGCGACGGUUGUCCCGGUUUAAGCGUGUAGGUGUGUGUUCCAGGUAAAUCCGGUUCACUUUAACACUGAGGCGUGAUGACGAGGCACUACGGUGCUGAAGCAACAAAUGCCCUGCUUCCAGGAAAAGCCUCUAAGCAUCAGGUAACAUCAAAUCGUACCCCAAACCGACACAGGUGGUCAGGUAGAGAAUACCAAGGCGCUUGAGAGAACUCGGGUGAAGGAACUAGGCAAAAUGGUGCCGUAACUUCGGGAGAAGGCACGCUGACAUGUAGGUGAAGUGAUUUACUCAUGGAGCUGAAGUCAGUCGAAGAUACCAGCUGGCUGCAACUGUUUAUUAAAAACACAGCACUGUGCAAACACGAAAGUGGACGUAUACGGUGUGACGCCUGCCCGGUGCCGGAAGGUUAAUUGAUGGGGUCAGCGCAAGCGAAGCUCCUGAUCGAAGCCCCGGUAAACGGCGGCCGUAACUAUAACGGUCCUAAGGUAGCGAAAUUCCUUGUCGGGUAAGUUCCGACCUGCACGAAUGGCGUAAUGAUGGCCAGGCUGUCUCCACCCGAGACUCAGUGAAAUUGAACUCGCUGUGAAGAUGCAGUGUACCCGCGGCAAGACGGAAAGACCCCGUGAACCUUUACUAUAGCUUGACACUGAACAUUGAGCCUUGAUGUGUAGGAUAGGUGGGAGGCUUUGAAGUGUGGACGCCAGUCUGCAUGGAGCCGACCUUGAAAUACCACCCUUUAAUGUUUGAUGUUCUAACGUGGACCCGU